This 729-nucleotide ribosomal RNA is filed under the name Exiguobacterium profundum. Its description in RNAcentral is "bacterial SSU rRNA". It matches the Rfam family "Bacterial small subunit ribosomal RNA", at positions 62 to 773 of the family's 1533-position model. The record is from RNAcentral. Lineage: Bacteria; Bacillati; Bacillota; Bacilli; Caryophanales.
CCGUCUGAACCCUCCGGGGGGACGACGGCGGAAUGUAGCGGCGGACGGGUGAGUAACACGUAAAGAACCUGCCCAUAGGUCUGGGAUAACCACGAGAAAUCGGGGCUAAUACCGGAUGUGUCAUCGGACCGCAUGGUCCGCUGAUGAAAGGCGCUCCGGCGUCGCCCAUGGAUGGCUUUGCGGUGCAUUAGCUAGUUGGUGGGGUAACGGCCCACCAAGGCGACGAUGCAUAGCCGACCUGAGAGGGUGAUCGGCCACACUGGGACUGAGACACGGCCCAGACUCCUACGGGAGGCAGCAGUAGGGAAUCUUCCACAAUGGACGAAAGUCUGAUGGAGCAACGCCGCGUGAACGAUGAAGGCUUUCGGGUCGUAAAGUUCUGUUGUAAGGGAAGAACAAGUGCCGCAGGCAAUGGCGGCACCUUGACGGUACCUUGCGAGAAAGCCACGGCUAACUACGUGCCAGCAGCCGCGGUAAUACGUAGGUGGCAAGCGUUGUCCGGAAUUAUUGGGCGUAAAGCGCGCGCAGGCGGCCUCUUAAGUCUGAUGUGAAAGCCCCCGGCUCAACCGGGGAGGGCCAUUGGAAACUGGGGAGGCUUGAGUAUAGGAGAGAAGAGUGGAAUUCCACGUGUAGCGGUGAAAUGCGUAGAGAUGUGGAGGAACACCAGUGGGCGAAGGCGACUCUUUGGCCUAUAACUGACGCUGAGGCGCGAAAGCGUGGGGAGCAAAC